GAAGAACGCUGGCGGCGAGCUUAACACAUGCAAGUCGAAAGGACAGGUCCUGCUUUUGUGGGAUGCUCGAGUGGCGAACGGGUGUGUAACAUGUGAGUAUCCUGCCCUUUACUUUGGGAUAACUUCAGGAAACCUGGUCUAAUACCGGAUCGGGUCUCCUGCUGCAUGGUGGGGGUUGGUUUGUUUCGGUGUUUGGGUAGUGUCUUGCGGCUUAUAAGUUUGUUGGUGGGGUAGUUGCUUACCAUGGUUUUGACGGGUAGCCGUCCUGGUAGGGUGACCGGCGACAUUGGGGCUGGUGGACUGCCCAGACUCCUACGGGAGGCAGCAGAGGGGAAUAUUGCAGAGCGGGUGGAAGCCUGAUUCAGCAACACCGCGAUCGGAAUGACGGCCUUCGGGUUGAAAACCACUUUGGCCUGUUACAAAGCGAGAGUGACGGUAAUGUGAAAAAAAGCACCGGCUAACUACGUG
This 468-nucleotide ribosomal RNA is filed under the name uncultured bacterium. RNAcentral's name for it is "partial 16S ribosomal RNA". It matches the Rfam family "Bacterial small subunit ribosomal RNA", at positions 28 to 507 of the family's 1533-position model. The record is from RNAcentral.